GUCCUCUCUCUCUAUCGCACAGCCGAUCUGUAGAAAAAAUUAUCCCGGCAUGAAACUCUUCCGCCAUUGAAACCAGAAGAAUUGGAAGCACCGAUCUGGAGUUUUAGGUCAUCUUUCACAAGGAGUGUGUUCAUCGUCUUUUCCUAGUUUUCUAUUUUGAGUUUAAUUUUAUGUUUGUUGGUAGUUAGGGUUUGAUUUUAUGUUUGUUGGUAGUUAGGGUUUGGUUUUCACAAGGGAUUUUUUGUGCAAUUUCUGCAGGUGGACAUUUAAUCUGAGAUUUCACAAGGAGUUACUGCAGCUACUAGUGCUAAUCAGUUUCUAUGGAGAAGGUGUUGAAGAUUGUUUACCAACCGCAAGCAAUCUUCCGUAUUCAUCCAGUCAAUGGCUGUUCUGCCACUAUUGCCAAUACUGUAAGAGGGCGAAAGUUGCUUUCAAAUAGUUAAAUCAAACACGUCAUGUCAUUGAAUUAGACGAACGAGCUAAAAGUUCUUUGAUAGACGAUAGUCGACCGUGAUGGAAGAAGUAAAGUGAAGAUCUGCUUGUGGUUUGCUUUGGCGAGAUGUUGAUUGAUUUUGUUCCCACUGUGGGUGGAGUUUCACUUGCAGAAGCACCAGCAUUUAAGAAAGCACCAGGUGGAGCUCCUACUAAUAUUGCUGUUGGAAUAGCAAGGCCUGGAGGUUCAGCAGCAUUUUUGUUGGAAAGGUUGGGGAUGAUAAGUUUGGACACAUGUUUUCCGACAUCUUGAAGCAAAACAAUGUGGAUAAUUCUGGAGUCUGUUUUGACUCCAAAGCAAGAACUGCAUUGGCAUUUGUGAUACUGAGAGCUGAUGGUGAAAGCGAGUUUAUGUUUUUCCGCAAUCCAAGUGCAGAUAUGCUUCUCUGUGAAUCAGAACUUAAUAAAGACCUUCUGAAAAAGAACUUUGUACAGGCAUCCGUCUUUCACUAUGGCUCUGUGAGUUUGAUUGAGGAACCAUGCAGGUCAACACAACUUGCUGUUAUGAAGAUAGCUCAGAAGGCUGGUUGUAUCCUCUCUUACGAUCCAACUUUGGGCAUCACCUCAGGCUGCUAAGAAAUAAAUGAUAAGCAUUUGGGACCAAGCAGAUAUCAUUAAGACAUCGUUGGUCAAACUCUUACUAUUGUGACUACUCAAGAUUUUAGUAAAUUAUUAAUAACUAUGGUUUGUACUUGUGCUGCAGGGUUGUCGCAUAUGCGUUAAUAUCAGAUGCUUCAUUUAGGUUACAAAUAGGUUUCUCUUCUUGAAAUCUAGGUUGUCCCUUGACGCAGAAAAUUGUAUCUUGUACACUCACUAUGCUUCUGAAACUAAGUCGGAAUCUUUGUGAAUU
Molecule: long non-coding RNA, 1342 nt
Organism: Papaver somniferum (opium poppy)
Lineage: Eukaryota; Viridiplantae; Streptophyta; Magnoliopsida; Ranunculales; Papaveraceae
Exons: 7
Source: RefSeq, a predicted model, not a curated record